RNAcentral lists this long non-coding RNA (1451 nucleotides) under Ursus americanus (American black bear). RNAcentral describes it as "lncRNA (ENSUAMG00000012824.1)". Lineage: Eukaryota; Metazoa; Chordata; Mammalia; Carnivora; Ursidae. The record is from RNAcentral.
AGAAUUCUGAAGAUGUGGCUGUGAGAGAAAAUUCACAUAAUUGGAGGAACAGCCCUACCAGAUAUUAAAACAAAAUAAAAAGCCACAAUACAUGAAUCACUUUAUGCCAACACAAAAAUAUUAAUUUAUUUUUAUAAAUAAGUGGAACAAAGCAGAUGUUAAUAAAAUAAAGGCUAUUAUAAAUAAAAUAAAAGUACCUUGCAGAUAAAAUAACAGACAUCAAUCCAUGGGAAAGGAAAAGAUGAUCAAAUGCUAUAAGGUAGCAUUGAAGAAAUUUUGACCCUUUCUUUUUAUCUUAUAAUAAAUACCCGAUGGAAGAAAGAGAAGUUUUAAAAGUGAACAUGGCAAAGCUAAGGUAGAACUUAAGAAGAAUAUUUAUGAAACAGAAGGCCAAAUUUUGAGCUAGAAAUAGCACAGAGAAAAUCAUAAAAUGUCAACAAAUUUGACUUAGAAUUUAUGUACUUCAAAAAGUAAAUUAGAAGACAUUAGCCUGAAGAGAAAUAUGUGCAAAUAUAAUGAAGGGUUAAUAGUGUUAUCAUGCAAAUAGCAGUAGUGGUGGUUGUGAUGAUUGUACAAGUUGACAUAUAUUGAACAUUUCAUUCCACUGUUGAAAUAUUAGAGAGAUUCUAUAACUACGUAAAAACUUAGAUCAUGGGAAAAUGUCCCAGAAAGGAAUGUACCAGAACAUUUCAGAAUAUUUUUUAAAAAAAUCAGUGGUUCUAAGCCAAAGCAAUUUUGCUCUCCAGAGAACAUUGGCAAAGAAGAAGAGGAAAAAAAAAAAAAAGGCAAGAAAUCACUUGAUGCUUCCUCGAUAAAUACUGAUUAUAGCCAGAAUUGUUGGCUUAUUACAUCCUGAGACUUCAUUUCACAGUUGCCCUAGGAAGAGAAGUCCACUAAAUAAUGAGCCAAAUUCUUAACAGUAAAGGAGAAAAAUUACAGGGACUCUUAUUUUUACUUCACAUAUUUCUGUAUUAUUUGGAUACUAUUAAAUUUGUGAUGAAGAAAAAAUAUAUAUUAUGAGCAGUAAACAAGAACUAAUACCCAUCUAUUAGUGAUUCCUUUAUGACAAGCACUUCUCUGAGUCCUUUACAUUUGUUCUUUUAGUUCUAUGAGCUCUUGAGCAAGUUAAUGAUUAUACCUAAAGUAAUGAAAAUAGUUUGUCCCAUUAAGUGGUUUUCAAGAUUAAGUGGGGAGAAAUAUAUCUAUAUAUUUAUAUAAAUAUAUAAAAGCUCCACGAGGGCAGGGAUUUUUGUCUAUUCACUUGUGUCCCCAGCAUCCAGAAUCAAAUAGCUCAUAAUAUGUUCUCAUAAAUAUUUAGGGGAUGAGUAAUCUUUUGAGUUAGAUGUACUGUGAUCGCUAAUAUACAAGUAAGAUUAAUGAGAUACAGAAAAUUCAACGAACAUGGCAAAUAUAUGGCUAUUUAGUAAUAAAACUGAUUUUUAACUGAGCCA